This 674-nucleotide long non-coding RNA is filed under the name Sinocyclocheilus grahami. RNAcentral's name for it is "lncRNA (ENSSGRG00000000680.1)". The record is from RNAcentral. Lineage: Eukaryota; Metazoa; Chordata; Actinopteri; Cypriniformes; Cyprinidae.
CUGGGGGUCUGUGCCGUGUCCAGAGCGUUCAUACGGGAGGGUGCAGCGCUGCAGUGUGCAGAAGUGUGGUGCACCCUUCAGGACGGAGAGAUGAGCAUUCACACAAAGCACGGAUGCGCAGACACAGUGACUCUGGACAGUCAGACACGCUGCCGUCAGUAUCACAUCCCACAUCAGAUCAUCAAACACUGUCAUAGGAAUGUCAAUGAAACAAAUAUGUCUUUUCUAUAGAUCUGCAGCGCUCAGAGAACUGCAUCCUGCUGGAGUUUCCUGAAAGGACGUUGCAUAUGCAGUUUGAGCUGGAGCACAGCUGUCUGCAGUGGCAUGAGCUCGUGCAGAAGGCCAUGUGCUCGAGCACAGAUGCACAGCAGCGCUCAGGAUCUGUGCCCUGCUCUGUAGACAGGUGCAUCUCUCACAUCACACAGUACGGGUUGAAGGUGGAAGGUUUGUAUCGGCGCUGUGGAGUCGCUCCUCAGAUCAGUAAGCUGGUCGAUGCUCUGAGCGUUUCUCCCAGAGGAACGCUUCUGGAAACAGACGAGCUCUCCAUCCUGGACAUUUCAGGAGCUCUGAAACAGAUCCUGCGGCAGAGCUUUGAGAUCAUACCGAACGCACACAGACCGCACUGGCUGAAAGCUGCAGGUACGUCUGUUCUCAGCCAUCAUUACUCUAUAAAA